Molecule: ribosomal RNA, 501 nt
Filed under: uncultured bacterium
Lineage: Bacteria
Description: partial 16S ribosomal RNA
Rfam family: Bacterial small subunit ribosomal RNA
Source: RNAcentral
AUUGAACGCUGGCGGCAGGCUUAACACAUGCAAGUCGAGCGGGGGAAGGUAGCUUGCUACCGGACCUAGCGGCGGACGGGUGAGUAAUGCCUAGGAAUCUGCCUAUUAGUGGGGGACAACAUCUCGAAAGGGAUGCUAAUACAGCAUACGUCCUACGGGAGAAAGCAGGGGAUCUGCGGACCUUACGCUAAUAGAUGAGCCUAAGUCGGAUUAGCUCGUUGGUGGGGUAAAGGCCUACCAAGGCGAGGAUCUGUAGCGGGUCUGAGAGGAUGAUCCGCCACACUGGGACUGAGACACGGCCCAGACUCCUACGGGAGGCAGCAGUGGGGAAUAUUGGACAAUGGGGGGAACCCUGAUCCAGCCAUGCCGCGUGUGUGAAGAAGGCCUUAUGGUUGUAAAGCACUUUAAGCGAGGAGGAGGCUACUCUAGUUAAUACCUAGGGAUAGUGGACGUUACUCGCAGAAUAAGCACCGGCUAACUCUGUGCCAGCCGCCGCGGUAA